CUGAGAGGUGAAGACAGGUGAGUGGUCAGGGCUUGCUGUCUAGAUAGUUUAGCCAAGAGUAGAGCUCCAGUUUCAGGGAGAGGCUCUGUCUCAAAAAACUAUGAGUGACCCAGGAAAAACCCCAUGUCCACCUCUGCCUUCUACAUACACAUGUGUGGGUGAACACACCCGCACAUGUACACACAAAUGAACGAUCAUGUGCCAGGACUCAUAGUCUCAAAACUUUGUUUAAACGACGUUCUUUUUAGUUUUUCACUUUAUUUGUAAUCUUACAUGUGUAUAUGGAUUUGGGUACAUGAGUGCAGGUGUCCGCACAGGCCAGAAGAGGGUGCCAGAGCCCAUGGACCUAGAGUUACAGGCAGUCUGGAAUGGGCACUCAGGACUGAGCUCAGGUCCUCUGCAAGAGCAGUGCCGGCUCUUAACCAUGAUGCCAUCUGUCCAGCCCUCAGCACUACUCUUCAACUGAAUACCAGCUGUUAAUUAUCAUUAUUAAGGAUUAUUAAAAAUAAGGACCCAGAUGUUCCAGGAACUCUUCAAUUGCUUUGUAGAGUGGUCUGGAGCCUACUCAACAAUCUGGGGAUGAAAGGACUCUCACCUGGAGAAGCUGAGGCCUCAAGGGGGAACAAUCUGACAGAGAGAGCCUCAGAUCGGCUGCAGCUGUUCUUGACCCGAUGACUUCUGGCUUCGUGGAAGGAGUUGUUUAUCGUCCGCGAGUUACGAACGCACCGUAGGCAGCUGGGAGAUGCUGUAAGCAGCAGGUCCGGUGUGGACAGCCACCCCGCGGAUCAGCUGAGAAUUCUGACCUUGGGUCAAACCAGUUUGUGUUUUGACCGCUUCCUUUCGAGUGUGUAUUUUAAUGACUUGAAAUUCCCCCCUUGGGUUAUCUACGUCACUCUCUUUUGAUAGACAGAAAGAAGAAGGAAUAUCAGUGGCCUCCUUUUUGAGAACUGUGACUCGACUGUCACAGAACAGCAAGAGGCACAUCAGAUGCCACCCUCAAUGACUCCAAAAGGCAACCCUAGGAAUGGCUUCUAUGAAACAGAGCAACUCGUGUGGGGAUGGAUCUCGCCACCAGCCCCAGGAAGCUCUUUCUCACCCCUUUAAGCUUCCAGUAGUGCCAGAUGAUUUUUUUGGUUUGUGACAGUGUCCCCUCCGCUCUCUUUCUCUGGCACAUGCCUUCUCUUUGGUAAACUCACAUUUCCUGGGUUAUUUUGACCAGCCCUACUUCCCCAUGUGGAGUGGUUCAGUAUUAAAAAUCACUUGUACAACACCAGCCUUCCCCACCAGACUAUCAUUCUGACAUGGGCAAGAUGCGUGCCUGUCUUUCUGCUGGACGCAACUCCAGUGCCCAGUGCACAGCCUGCUGAGGAAUAGUCAUACGUCAGAUACUUACGGAAUGAAAAA
Molecule: long non-coding RNA, 1404 nt
Organism: Rattus rattus (black rat)
Lineage: Eukaryota; Metazoa; Chordata; Mammalia; Rodentia; Muridae
Exons: 3
Source: RefSeq, a predicted model, not a curated record